Molecule: ribosomal RNA, 253 nt
Filed under: uncultured bacterium
Lineage: Bacteria
Description: partial 16S ribosomal RNA
Rfam family: Bacterial small subunit ribosomal RNA
Source: RNAcentral
UACGUAGGUGGCAAGCGUUGUUCGGAAUUAUUGGGCGUAAAGCGCUUGUAGGCGGCACGUCAAGUCGCGUGUGAAAUCCCCAGGCUUAACCUGGGAAGUGCGCGCGAAACUGACGAGCUUGAGUGCCGGAGAGGGUCGCGGAAUUCCCGGUGUAGAGGUGAAAUUCGUAGAUAUCGGGAGGAACACCAGUGGCGAAGGCGGCGACCUGGACGGACACUGACGCUGAGACGCGAAAGCGUGGGGAGCAAACAGG